GACGAACGCUGGCGGCGUGCUUAACACAUGCAAGUCGAACGGAAAGGCCCUGCUUUUGUGGGGUGCUCGAGUGGCGAACGGGUGAGUAACACGUGAGUAACCUGCCCUUGACUUUGGGAUAACUUCAGGAAACUGGGGCUAAUACCGGAUAGGAGCUCCUGCUGCAUGGUGGGGGUUGGAAAGUUUCGGCGGUUGGGGAUGGACUCGCGGCUUAUCAGCUUGUUGGUGGGGUAGUGGCUUACCAAGGCUUUGACGGGUGGCCGGCCUGAGAGGGUGACCGGCCACAUUGGGACUGAGAUACGGCCCAGACUCCUACGGGAGGCAGCAGUGGGGAAUAUUGCACAAUGGGCGGAAGCCUGAUGCAGCAACGCCGCGUGCGGGAUGACGGCCUUCGGGUUGUAAACCGCUUUCGCCUGUGACGAAGCGUGAGUGGCGGUAAUGGGUAAAGAAGCACCGGCUAACUACGUG
This 468-nucleotide ribosomal RNA is filed under the name uncultured bacterium. Its description in RNAcentral is "partial 16S ribosomal RNA". It matches the Rfam family "Bacterial small subunit ribosomal RNA", at positions 28 to 507 of the family's 1533-position model. The record is from RNAcentral.